Long non-coding RNA from Bombus huntii, 500 nucleotides. RefSeq lists it as uncharacterized. The transcript is spliced from 2 exons. The record is from RefSeq and is a predicted model, not a curated record. NCBI's taxonomy places the organism in Eukaryota, Metazoa, Arthropoda, Insecta, Hymenoptera, Apidae.
CUCCAAAGAAUCUACAAAGAUGCUUGGAAUGCUCGACCGUUUCUAUCGUCUCUGCGAAUGGCGAUACGAUACGACUCCUCUUUUUUCCAUCGAUUAACAAAAAUACACCAUAAAUGUUUUCUUGAAAAGGAAUAUAUUCGACUCACGACGACAAGGUGAGACUUAACGGUCAACUUGCCGGGAAGAUACGUUUUCAAUGAAGUUUUAUUGCGAAACACUUUUCAAAUAUUACGUGAUAAUUGAGUAUAAUAAUACAGAUUAACUUAUGAGACAAUUGACAUUAUUUCGAAUUUUAUCGUUUCUGUAUUUGCCAAUAUGAAUUUAGACAAAUUAGCCGACGUGUUUUAUUUGUGAAGAGUUAGUUUGCUCAAUUUAAGCAAGUAAAUUUUUAUUUUUUAUAUCGGAAAUAAGUUUUCAUAUAUUAAUUAUAUGGGGCAUUAUUAUUAAUUGGAAUACCAUUGUUAAUCGUCGUAGAAUUUUAUUAAAUUUUAUUUUUCGUA